AUUCAUCGGCGCCGUUUCCGCCGCUAACAAUGUACCGGCGAUCGCGUGACGUAGCUGCAACUGCUCGAAGAACAAGACUUGGACCACCGCACGUAAUGGUAAACGCUCAUUUUGUGCCGCGUGAGUGCAUGCUUCGAGUGUAAGCUUUUGACAGUCUAAUACUCCGCAUAUCUUUUCCCGCUCCGAUUCAGGUAUCCAUGGAUGCGCCUUCAAAAAAAAGUAUAAGAAAAGCUUAAUUAACUAAUUUAAAUCAUGUUUUUUCAAAAUUUAAACCGCUUGUUUUUGUUAAUUGUACCUUGAGGUAUACGUCGACAGCUCUGUAAAGUCCAUCGUCGAAAUUUCUAGCUUGAUCGGGAAGCGAAAUCGCGAGGUUAUAGAACUUUUCCGGUUUCAAAUUGGCGUCGGAUGCGAUCUCAGAAAGGUAACCGUCGAUUAAUUUUCCGACCAGCAUCAGUGCAGGCAGCCUACUGCUAUUAAUAAUGUUAUCGUUGUUGCCUUCGUUUUCGGCUUCGAUUCCUGCAGCGUUUCUCUCUUCUAAUCCAUCCAGAAAAUAACCUAAAAUCCUCUCAAUGCAAUCGACGUCAUAGAGCGUUUCGUUGAGAUACGAAUAGCUCGGGAUUAACAGAUCGUCUAACGUUGCCUGCU
RNAcentral lists this long non-coding RNA (645 nucleotides) under Gossypium barbadense (sea-island cotton). Its description in RNAcentral is "long non-coding RNA (GBAR_LNC014623)". Lineage: Eukaryota; Viridiplantae; Streptophyta; Magnoliopsida; Malvales; Malvaceae. The record is from RNAcentral.